GCGACGCGUGAAGACAUUGUGGUGCUGGAAAGUUUAUGGUUAUUUUGCUUUUUUUUACAUUUAUCCUCGCAUCCUGAAUUUGAGACUUGGUAUUCGGAAGACCGGAAGUGAACAAGUGUGUGUGAGAUCUGCCUUGUUGGGACCCACGGGGCAAGGAUGAGGUCUUCCCGACUCAUCUUUAAGGAUUACUAGUGAACUGCACCACGAUAGCUCACAAACGUUCAGAACUACUGUGAAGGUAAGCGUGCUGGCCGGGCGGCGGAAACACUGGAGGAGGGAGAGAGGGAGAGCGGAGGGAGGACAAAAGUGGACUUGGGUGUUGCCUGCGCUACCUGUGAGUAAUGGUCCUCCUACCUGCUAAUAUGGGGUUACCUGACGCGCCUCCCCCAGGAUAUUCCUCGGAGGGGAUUCUGGGGCGCGUGAGUCUGCUCUUUCCACCUCCGUCAGGCGGCGCGCAGGCAGCGGCGGCUCAGGGCGAGGUCAGAGUGUUGUGGAUAGGAUUUCCCCCCACAAAAGUCUCAUCAAGUCAGCCAUGAAAGGGUAACCUGAUCCCUACGUAUUGUUUUGUUUCCUUCCUGUCACAAAAAAAGGCACCAACAACAACAGCAGCACUCCUGUUUUCCCCCCGACUUUUUUUCUUUUUCUUCCUUUUUUUCGGUUUUCCUCAUUCCCCCGCAUUGUCGGAGGGCGGCCGUGCCUCCUGCAGCCAGCCGGAUUAGGUUUUUGUAGCGCAGCCCGGCAAACAUUAGGUAAUUGAAGGGCAGAUCUUUAUCUUAAUUAAUCUUUGCACAGUAAAUAACACCCGCGAGUGUAAUGCCCUCAAGAGAAGGGAGGUAGAUUAAUGUUAUAUAAAAUUCAAUAACAUCACCCAACGUUACCUCGACCUCUACCUCCAAGCUUUGAGACCACACGGGGCUCCGAUACCCUGGGGCGCGUGGCGGGGCUCGGGUACACGGCCCCACGCCCCCCGGCCCCGCCCUCACAGCCCGCCGCCUACCGGGAACUCCACCGGUCUAAUUAUCGAGGUCGACCGGACUGACGAAACUCAUACGGCUUUUGAUUAAGUCGAGUAUUGUUCGCGCUAGAAACAUGUCGGGCCAGAUUAUGUGCGCGGCGACAAGACGGUCCUCGGCGCGGGCGGAGCCUUGGGUUGACUUUCCCGUAGCCCAGGCGGGAGUGUCGACCUUGGGGCAGGGCGGCGCGGGGCAGGGCGGGGCGGGGCUGGCCUGCUGGCUUCUGGAGAGGCCUUUGUGAUUAAUGCUGUUAAUUUUAUAUGAGCUGGUCAUUGUGAAGCUGUUUUAGAUUGAAAAAAAAAAACAUAACAAUUCGUGAUUGGUAAUUAAUUUUCGUAUAUAAUAA
Scylla paramamosain (green mud crab) is the source of this 1359-nucleotide long non-coding RNA. RefSeq lists it as uncharacterized. The transcript has 2 exons. The record is from RefSeq and is a predicted model, not a curated record. NCBI's taxonomy places the organism in Eukaryota, Metazoa, Arthropoda, Malacostraca, Decapoda, Portunidae.